This is a long non-coding RNA of Malaclemys terrapin pileata, 475 nucleotides long. RefSeq lists it as uncharacterized. The record is from RefSeq and is a predicted model, not a curated record. The transcript has 3 exons. NCBI's taxonomy places the organism in Eukaryota, Metazoa, Chordata, Testudines, Emydidae.
UGACCACUCAUGUUGAGAGAAGAAGUCUUGGCUCAGGCAAUCCGCCCGGGAGUUCCGGGCACCGACCCAGGGUGGUGCAUGUGGACAGGCGGAGCGCCACGUGAUCCUGCACCUACGACCGGGACCAGCCAGUCGUCAAGAUAGGGGACGAUCUGGACCUCACGAUGUCUGAGGAGGGGUCACACUCAGAGGCUUGCUGUGUGAAAGGGGUCACCCAUACAAUAGUUUGAGAACCACGGUGCAAGGAGUUCUGCGCCUCACUGGACAGCCCAGACAGCAGGAACCAUGACACCCUCCUCAUGAACACAGCGGAGGUCCAUAGACCUUGCAGCCUUAUCUGCGGCAUCCGACGCUGCCUGCAGGGUUGCCCUGGCAGCUGCUGUACCCUCCUCAACCAGAGCUUUGAACUCCUUCUUGUUACACUUCUGGAGGGAGUCCUCAAAUUUGAGUAGAGAGCCCCACAAAUUGAACUCAU